RNAcentral lists this transfer RNA (73 nucleotides) under Bacteroidota bacterium. Its description in RNAcentral is "tRNA-Phe". It matches the Rfam family "tRNA". Rfam says of the family: Transfer RNA (tRNA) molecules are approximately 80 nucleotides in length. RNAcentral also lists the same sequence under 1 other name. The record is from RNAcentral. Lineage: Bacteria; Pseudomonadati; Bacteroidota.
GGCGACGUAGCUCAGUUGGUAGAGCAGAGGACUGAAAAUCCUUGUGUCACUGGUUCAAUUCCAGUCGUUGCCA